This 253-nucleotide ribosomal RNA is filed under the name uncultured bacterium. Its description in RNAcentral is "partial 16S ribosomal RNA". It matches the Rfam family "Bacterial small subunit ribosomal RNA", at positions 524 to 776 of the family's 1533-position model. The record is from RNAcentral.
UACGUAGGGGGCAAGCGUUGUCCGGAAUUAUUGGGCGUAAAGAGCGCGUAGGCGGUCCGAUAAGUCGGCUGUGAAAGUCAUGGGCUCAACCCAUGAAAGCCGGCCGAUACUGUCGGACUAGAGUUCGGAAGAGGCAAGUGGAAUUCCCGGUGUAGCGGUGAAAUGCGCAGAUAUCAGGAGGAACACCAAUGGCGAAGGCAGCUCGCUGGGACGUGACUGACGCUGAGACGCGAAAGCGUGGGGAGCAAACGGG